This 865-nucleotide ribosomal RNA is filed under the name uncultured bacterium. RNAcentral's name for it is "bacterial SSU rRNA". It matches the Rfam family "Bacterial small subunit ribosomal RNA", at positions 60 to 918 of the family's 1533-position model. The record is from RNAcentral.
AGUCGAGGGGCAGCAUCAUCAAAGCUUGCUUUGAUGGAUGGCGACCGGCGCACGGGUGAGUAACACGUAUCCAACCUGCCGACAACACUGGGAUAGCCUUUCGAAAGAAAGAUUAAUACCGGAUGGCAUAAUUAUUCCGCAUGGGAUAAUUAUUAAAGAAUUUCGGUUGUCGAUGGGGAUGCGUUCCAUUAGGCAGUUGGCGGGGUAACGGCCCACCAAACCUACGAUGGAUAGGGGUUCUGAGAGGAAGGUCCCCCACAUUGGAACUGAGACACGGUCCAAACUCCUACGGGAGGCAGCAGUGAGGAAUAUUGGUCAAUGGACGAGAGUCUGAACCAGCCAAGUAGCGUGAAGGAUGACUGCCCUAUGGGUUGUAAACUUCUUUUAUACGGGAAUAAAGUUAGCCACGUGUGGCUUUUUGUAUGUACCGUAUGAAUAAGGAUCGGCUAACUCCGUGCCAGCAGCCGCGGUAAUACGGAGGAUCCGAGCGUUAUCCGGAUUUAUUGGGUUUAAAGGGAGCGUAGGCGGGUUGUUAAGUCAGUUGUGAAAGUUUGCGGCUCAACCGUAAAAUUGCAGUUGAUACUGGCGACCUUGAGUGCAACAGAGGUAGGCGGAAUUCGUGGUGUAGCGGUGAAAUGCUUAGAUAUCACGAAGAACUCCGAUUGCGAAGGCAGCACACUAAGCCGUAACUGACGUUCAUGCUCGAAAGUGUGGGUAUCAAACAGGAUUAGAUACCCUGGUAGUCCACACGGUAAACGAUGGAUACCCGCUGUUGGCGAUAUACUGUCAGCGGCUUAGCGAAAGCGUUAAGUAUCCCACCUGGGGAGUACGCCGGCAACGGUGAAACUCAAAGGAAUUGACGGGG